RNAcentral lists this ribosomal RNA (226 nucleotides) under Shewanella hafniensis. RNAcentral describes it as "partial 16S ribosomal RNA". It matches the Rfam family "Bacterial small subunit ribosomal RNA", at positions 463 to 688 of the family's 1533-position model. The record is from RNAcentral. Lineage: Bacteria; Pseudomonadati; Pseudomonadota; Gammaproteobacteria; Alteromonadales; Shewanellaceae.
GUUGCUGUGACGUUACCUACAGAAGAAGGACCGGCUAACUCCGUGCCAGCAGCCGCGGUAAUACGGAGGGUCCGAGCGUUAAUCGGAAUUACUGGGCGUAAAGCGUGCGCAGGCGGUUUGUUAAGCGAGAUGUGAAAGCCCCGGGCUCAACCUGGGAAUUGCAUUUCGAACUGGCGAACUAGAGUCUUGUAGAGGGGGGUAGAAUUCCAGGUGUAGCGGUGAAAUG